CCUACGGGAGGCAGCAGUAAGGAAUAUUGGUCAAUGGAGGCAACUCUGAACCAGCCAUGCCGCGUGCAGGAAGAAGGCCCUAUGGGUCGUAAACUGCUUUUGUACCAGAGAAAACCCGAGUACGUGUACUCGGUUGAUAGUAUGGUAAGAAUAAGCAUCGGCUAACUUCGUGCCAGCAGCCGCGGUAAGACGAAGGAUGCAAGCGUUAUCCGGAUUCAUUGGGUUUAAAGGGUGCGUAGGCGGACUGAUAAGUCAGUGGUGAAAUCUCUCGGCUUAACCGAGAAACUGCCAUUGAUACUGUUAGUCUAGAGUAUAGAUGACGUUGGCGGAAUAUGACAUGUAGUGGUGAAAUACUUAGAUAUGUCAUAGAACACCGAUUGCGAAGGCAGCUAACGAAACUAUAACUGACGCUGAGGCACGAAAGUGCGGGGAUCAAACAGGAUUAGAUACCCUGGUAGUCCGCACCGUAAACGAUGAUUACUCGUUGUUGGCAAUAUGACCGUCAGCGACCAAGCGAAAGCGAUAAGUAAUCCACCUGGGGAGUACGCCGGCAACGGUGAAACUCAAAGGAAUUGACGGCNGAGAGAGCGACGGACGACGACGAGGGAGGAGG
RNAcentral lists this ribosomal RNA (613 nucleotides) under uncultured bacterium. RNAcentral describes it as "bacterial SSU rRNA". It matches the Rfam family "Bacterial small subunit ribosomal RNA", at positions 338 to 954 of the family's 1533-position model. The record is from RNAcentral.